Molecule: transfer RNA, 72 nt
Filed under: Marmota monax (woodchuck)
Lineage: Eukaryota; Metazoa; Chordata; Mammalia; Rodentia; Sciuridae
Rfam family: tRNA
About the family: Transfer RNA (tRNA) molecules are approximately 80 nucleotides in length. Their secondary structure includes four short double-helical elements and three loops (D, anti-codon, and T loops).
Source: Rfam by way of RNAcentral
GGGGAUGUGGCUCAGUGGCAGAGAACUUACCUGGCAUGUGUGAGGCCCUGGGUUCAAUUCCCAGCACCACCA